Non-coding RNA from Paramuricea clavata, 400 nucleotides. The record is from the annotation of a GenBank genome assembly. Lineage: Eukaryota; Metazoa; Cnidaria; Anthozoa; Malacalcyonacea; Plexauridae.
UAAAAAUGUAUUAAAAUUUGUACGAAAUAAGCCUUAAAAUAAUGUCCGUGUCUUUUUGUUGCGAAGAGUUCACAACAGUUAUAAUAGUUUGAUUAAUAGAUCGAAAUGAGAAGUCAUUAUUUUGGGCGAAAUAUGCCAGAUCAAUAUUAAUAAGAAGAUGAAAGUGAAGGAAAAGUGGGAACUGGUGAUUCAGUCCAAGAGAUGUAAAAAUGUCUGCGAACGGGACACCGACAUCAACAGUGUUCACGAAAGGCAUGUGAUAUCAACAGCUGUGGAAGACCACAUCACUACCUAUUGCAUAAAGAUCCAAAACAAGUGGACAAUGGCAACCUGAACCCUGAUGCACAACCAUUCAAACCAGAUUAAGAGGGUGCUACAGGCAAGGGAAAGUACAACCAGG